GCUCAGAUCCGGGAAAGUAACUGCUGAGGAUACACCUUGUCGUUGUCCCAGGUCCAGGCAGAGAUGAGGCGAAGGCUGGUGGAGUGGCAGACACAAGGCCGUCUGAGUCUAGUGAAGAGGCGCAAGCCCGUGUUCACGGAAAACACCAUCAUUUCACAGGGCCAGAAUUACCUUCACACAACACAAUUACAGAAGACCAUAAAGUCCACAUUUCCGCUGCUUUGGCAGUGAAAGAAAAGCAGCUUAUUGGACCUACCCAUCUGGAUUCCAUCAUCUAACUCGCCUUUUGGCUGCAGACAAGACCUCCCCCUGGAUAACCCAAAGGCCACCUGGCGACAGCAGUCUCAACGGGGCAGGUGUGGCCCGACUGAAGAUGCUCACAGGCUGAAUGUUACCCAAGGUUCAAUAGGGUGAGUACGGCCAGUGAAUAUUUACACUCAUUUUGCACAACCCCCUUUUGUUUGCAUCUCCUUACGUAAUGCACAAUCAUCCCACAUAGCUAGCUAAAUAGCUAAUUAGUGAUAAAUAGAAAUUUCUCCACUCAGGUAAUUUUAACGGAAAAUGUUCUGAAGUCAUGCUGGCAAUGAAGUACAGAGCUAGAAAGCCAUAAGACCCAUUUUUCACACACUGCUUCUUGUCUUCUAUGAGCAGACACAUAAUGAUGUGACAACGUAUUAUAUUUUUCCCCAAGAAAAUGAGAAGUAAUGUCAUGGUAUAUACAACAAAAUAACCAUAAUACCUUUUUGUAGGUACAUUUCAAUUGUCUUCUUUUUUCAUGAUACUGGAUUGAUAUGCACUGGGAGUGUGCCACACAUAGAUGUUUUGGGGUGAGGGAGUGAGUUGGGGCCCUCAGGUUGAGGGUGUGGGCAGGGGGUGU
RNAcentral lists this long non-coding RNA (877 nucleotides) under Scleropages formosus (Asian bonytongue). RNAcentral describes it as "lncRNA (ENSSFOG00015024299.1)". The record is from RNAcentral. Lineage: Eukaryota; Metazoa; Chordata; Actinopteri; Osteoglossiformes; Osteoglossidae.